Molecule: small nucleolar RNA, 74 nt
Organism: Capsella rubella
Lineage: Eukaryota; Viridiplantae; Streptophyta; Magnoliopsida; Brassicales; Brassicaceae
Rfam family: Small nucleolar RNA snoR124
Source: Rfam
UACCAAUGAUGGAAUUCAAAUAAUCAUCAGAUCUGAUGUGUAUACACAUGAUUACAAUCAUUGAUGCUGAGGUA